Molecule: ribosomal RNA, 2067 nt
Filed under: Phormia regina (black blowfly)
Lineage: Eukaryota; Metazoa; Arthropoda; Insecta; Diptera; Calliphoridae
Description: eukaryotic LSU rRNA
Rfam family: Eukaryotic large subunit ribosomal RNA
Source: RNAcentral
AAAGAAAAUAGUUCAGCACUAAGUCACUUUGUCUUAAUGGCAAAUGUGAGAUGCAGUGUAUGGAAUGUCAAAUUUCUAGUAUGAGAAAUUAACGAUUUAAGUCCUUCUUAAAUGAGGCCAUUUACCCAAAGAGGGUGCCAGGCCCGUAUAACGUUAAUGAUUACUAGAUGGCAUUUCCAAAGAGUCGUGUUGCUUGAUAGUGCAGCACUAAGUGGGUGGUAAACUCCAUCUAAAACUAAAUAUAACCAUGAGACCGAUAGUAAACAAGUACCGUGAGGGAAAGUUGAAAAGAACUCUGAAUAGAGAGUUAAAUAGUACGUGAAACUGCUUAGAGGUUAAGCCCGAUGAACCUGAAUAUCCGUUAUAGAAAAUUCAUCAUUAUGAUUUUAAUAUUUAUAAUAUUAUAAUAAUGGUGUGCAUUUUUUCUAUAAAAGGACAUUGUAAUCUAUUAACAUAAAUAUAUUUAUCAUAAGAUCAAGAGCGUAAGUUUAUUCAAAUUAUUUUGCUUGCAAUUUAACAUAGAAUAAAUGCUUUUGAUUUGAUAAAGUGUUGAUAGAUUUAUUAUAUAUAGUGCUUAAAUAUUUAUAUUUUAUAAUAGCAUAUUAAUCAUUGAUUUUUAUGUUUAUUAUAUGCACUUAUAUGAUUAACAAUGCGAAAGAUUCAGGAUACCUUCGGGACCCGUCUUGAAACACGGACCAAGGAGUCUAACAUAUUUGCAAGUUAUUGGGAAUAAAAACCUAAUAGCGAAAUUAACAUAACUUAAUAAUGGGAUUAGUUUUUAGCCUAUUUAUAGUCUAUUAAUACAAUCCCGGGGCGUUCUAUCAGUUAUGUAUAAUAAUAUUUAUAUUAUUUAUACCUCUAACUAGAGCGUACCUUGAGCAUAUAUGCUGUGACCCGAAAGAUGGUGAACUAUACUUGAUCAGGUUGAAGUCAGGGGAAACCCUGAUGGAAGACCGAAACAGUUCUGACGUGCAAAUCGAUUGUCAGAAUUGAGUAUAGGGGCGAAAGACCAAUCGAACCAUCUAGUAGCUGGUUCCCUCCGAAGUUUCCCUCAGGAUAGCUGGUGCAUUUAAAAAUUAUGUAAAAUAAUCUUAUCUGGUAAAGCGAAUGAUUAGAGGCCUUAGGGUCGAAACGACCUUAACCUAUUCUCAAACUUUAAAUGGGUAAGAACCUCACCUUUCUUGGUAUGAAGGUUGUGGUUGUGAUAUAAUGUGCCCAGUGGGCCACUUUUGGUAAGCAGAACUGGCGCUGUGGGAUGAACCAAACGUAAUGUUACGGUGCCCAAAUUAACAACUCAUGCAGAUACCAUGAAAGGCGUUGGUUGCUUAAAACAGCAGGACGGUGGACAUGGAAGUCGUAAUCCGCUAAGGAGUGUGUAACAACUCACCUGCCGAAGCAACUAGCCCUUAAAAUGGAUGGCGCUUAAGUUGUAUACCUAUACAUUACCGCUAAAGUAGAUGGUUUAUGUUCAAUUUCGGUUGGAUUAUAAACUUUGAAACUUUAGUGAGUAGGAGGGUACAAUGGUGAGCAUAGAAGUGUUUGGCGUAAGCCUGCAUGGAGCUGCCAUUGGUACAGAUCUUGGUGGUAGUAGCAAAUAAUCGAAUGAGACCUUGGAGGACUGAAGUGGAGAAGGGUUUCGUGUGAACAGUGGUUGAUCACGAGUUAGUCGGUCCUAAGUUCAAGGCGAAAGCCGAAAAUUUUCAAGUUAUAAUGAAAAGUAAGUAAUAUUUUACUUAACUUAGUAAUUAAACACUUGAAUAAUUUUGAACGAAAGGGAAUACGGUUCCAAUUCCGUAACCUGUUGAGUAUCCGUUUGUUAUUAAAUAUGGGCCUUGUGCUCAUCCUGGCAACAGGAACGACCAUAAAGAAGCCGUCGAGAGAUAUCGGAAGAGUUUUCUUUUCUGUUUUAUAGUCGUACUACCAUGGAAGUCUUUCGAAGAGAGAUAUGGUAGAUGGACUAGAAGAGCAUGACAUUUACUGUUGUGUCGAUAUUUUCUCCUCGGACCUUGAAAAUUUAUGGUGGGGUCACGCAAACUUCUCAACAGGCCGUACCAAUAUCCGCAGCUG